AUCCAUUUUCACUUCCAUUUUCUUUCUUUUUCAUCCAUUUUCAUGCCCAAAUCAACCAUUCAAACUAAUACCCAUGCAUUUCAUCUUCAUUAAACCCUUCUCCAUCAUGAUUUCUUCACUUGUUCUUCAUCAUUUCAUCCUUAUUGCAUUCACGCGUGAAUAGUGUUCUCCAUUUUCUUUCUCAAAUCUCUUCAUCUUUCACUCAUUUUCU
Molecule: long non-coding RNA, 211 nt
Filed under: Citrus sinensis (sweet orange)
Lineage: Eukaryota; Viridiplantae; Streptophyta; Magnoliopsida; Sapindales; Rutaceae
Description: long non-coding RNA (CSIN_LNC005068)
Source: RNAcentral